This is a long non-coding RNA of Cucurbita moschata (crookneck pumpkin), 367 nucleotides long. RefSeq lists it as uncharacterized. Lineage: Eukaryota; Viridiplantae; Streptophyta; Magnoliopsida; Cucurbitales; Cucurbitaceae. The record is from RefSeq and is a predicted model, not a curated record. The transcript has 2 exons.
UAUAUCAUUCGUUUAUCAAUUUCUAAGAGAUGGCCAAGUUUCGAGUUUGCUCCCCAUUGUUCCUUGCUCUUCUUUUCUCAUUGGCGUUCAUGGUACCUCAAGCAGCCCUUUCAGUAGAUUGUGUUGAUAAGUUGUAUGAAGGAUGCCUGCCUGAAGACUGCAAGCAGAAGUGUCUAGAAAAGCAUCCUGGAUCAACAUCUCAGUGCGUGGCUGCCCCUCCCGUUCCUUUUACCUACCUUUGUUAUUGCUCCUACCAUUGCACUAACAACUGAGUGCUUUUAAUCCUAUCAUAUGGUGGGAAUGUCAUAAAAUGAUUGGGUGACUUUUUCUUCAUUGAACCCACACUUAUCAUGAUAUAUUAAAGUUU